CAGCCCAAAUCCACAGUCUUCCAACUGAGAUCACACACCUGGUUUCAAGACUUAAUGAAACUCAGGUUCUUGAUGUCUCAUCACAGACAGAAUUAAGUGACAAAGUGAUAGGUAAGAAGUGGAUUUAUUUAGAG
Long non-coding RNA from Aethalodelphis obliquidens (Pacific white-sided dolphin), 134 nucleotides. RefSeq lists it as uncharacterized. Lineage: Eukaryota; Metazoa; Chordata; Mammalia; Artiodactyla; Delphinidae. The record is from RefSeq and is a predicted model, not a curated record. The transcript has 3 exons.